This 3084-nucleotide long non-coding RNA is filed under the name Equus caballus (horse). Its description in RNAcentral is "lncRNA (ENSECAG00000047040.1)". The record is from RNAcentral. Lineage: Eukaryota; Metazoa; Chordata; Mammalia; Perissodactyla; Equidae.
GUAUACCAUAGUGGUAGGGCUGGGUUGAGGAUCUUAGUCCUCUGGAGGCAGAGAAUGAGGGAACAUGAACAUGUUUGGGGGGUGUGGUGCCAGACCCAGGUUUCAGAGCUGGGUGUCUUUCUGGACUAGUCUUCAGUACCCCUGAUAAUCGUCCUCAUUAGGAGUUACCUUCCUUAGCACCCCCUCUCCUAUGGACCCUAUGCCAAAACCAGAGCAAGCCCAGGACCCCCUCCUGCUUCAGACUGCACACAUGGGUGGGUGCUGUCCUUCCAAACAUUUCUGCAUAAACAGGGAGAUGGGGGGGCAGGGGAAGGAGUAUGAGGUGGGAAGGACGUGUGAGGAGACGUUUGGAAUAUUAGUGUUAGUAGGGAGAGGAGGACCCAAAGGAAGUUGAAAGGUGUGAGGAGGGAGAGGACUGAGGAUCACAGUGGAGAUAAAAGUGAGAAGGUGGAAGCCCCGUGGAGAGAGGCCGUGCUGGGCAGUCGUCUGGGGAACAAAGCUGAGAUGUGGGGACACCACCUGGAUGGACGGGGAUGAUGGACAGAAGGAAAUAGGGGAAGAGAGUGUGUGAGUCAGGACUCUUAGUUCAAGGAGCAAAAACCUAAUUCAGGGGGCCAGCCCCGUGGCCAAGUGGUUAAGUUCAUGCACUCUGCCUCGGCAGCCCAGGGUUUCGCCAGUUGGAAUCCUGGGCGCGGACAUGGCAUCAGGCCAUGCUGAGGCGGCAUCCCACAUGCCACAACUAGAAGAACCCACAACUGAAAAUAGACAACUAUGUACUGGGGGGCUUUGGGAGAAAAAGGGAAAAUACAAAAAAUCUUUAAAAAGAAAAAGCUAAUUCAGAGUAGCCUGAGAGGGUUUAGAGUAGAGAGAAUAAGAAGUGAUUGACUCAUGCAGAGUGUCAGGGACUUUAGCCUCAGGUGGACCCAGGGCUCGCACAAAACCUAGAUGUCUGCCCUGAGUUUUUCUCUGCUUUCUUAGAGUAGCUUUUAUGCUGAGGCUGCACACAGUGGUCCUGACCAUGCCAGGAUCCGUCAUUCUUAAAGUUGGCGGUACCAGGAAGAAAACAUCUCCCAGACACUUGCACAGGUUUCGCAGAAUGGGGUCUCACUGACUGGUUCAUGAGUCCAUCCUGGAAACUGUCCCCACAGCAAGGUGGGUUCCAAACAUCUCAGGUGCCAGCUGCGCCUCAUACCCACCCUGGAGCUCCCGAGGCUCGCAGGCAGAGUGUGGGGCUCAGGACGUCGACAGGAACAUCAGGAGCUGUCAUGGAAGUUGACCAGCUGCUGCACGGGCAGAGUCAGCAGCUGUCCGCACCAGGGCAGGAGCCAGGACGCACCAUUCAGUUUUAAAAUUACCAUCACAAAGAGCAAUAAAAUUCUGGAUUUUGGCGGGGAUAAGGGGUCCAUAGAAACAGAGAUUUAUUAAGCCAAGGGUUUCGCUGGUUCGGAUCCUGGGCGAGGACAUGGCACUGCUCAUCAAGCCAUGCUGAGGUGGCAUCCACAUGCCACAACUAGAAGGACCCACAACUAAAAGUACACAACUAUGUACAGGGGGGCUUUCGGGAGGAAAAGGAAAAAAUAAAAUCUUUAAAAAAAAAAAGAAUGAAACAGAAAUUAAGACAUUCCUAGAUAAAUAAAAGGUGAGGGAGUUGCUUGCUAGCAGACCUGCCCUACAAGAAAUGCCAAAGGGAGUCCUUCAGGCUCAAAUGAAAGGGCACUCUACAGUAAUUUGAAGACGGACAAAGAAACAGUAACUACAUAGGCAAAUAUAAAAGCCAGUAACGUUACACUUGUUUGUAACAUCUCUUCCCACAUGAUAUAAAAAAAUAAAUGCAUAAAAAAAUUAUCAGUCAGUGGUGGGCCCGGUGGCGCAGUGGUUAAGUGCACACGUUUUGCUUCUCAGCAGCCUGGGGUUUGCCAGUUCAGAUCCUGGGUGCGGACAUGGCACCGCUUGGCAAAAGCCAUGCUGUGGUAGGCGUCCCACGUAUAAAGUAGAAGAAGAUGGGCAUGAAUGUUAUAUCAGGGCCAGUCUUCCUCAGCAAAAAGAGGAGGAUUGGCAGUAGUUACCUCAGGGCUAAUCUUCCUCAGGAAAAAAAAAUUAUCAUUCUAUGUUAAUGGGCACAAAAUGUAUGAAGAGGUAAUUUGUGGCAGUAACAUGCAGGAGUUGGAGCUAGGUAGCAGCAGUUUCUGUGUGUCAUUGAAUCUACGUUGGUGUCAAUUCAAACUACAUUGUUAUAAAUUUAGGGUGUCAAUUAUCCCCAUGGUAACCAUUAAGAAAAUAUCUUUAAAAAUGUAGACACAGAAGGAAAUGAGAAGGUAAUCAAAACACUUCACUACAAAAAUAAACACAAAAGGAGGCAGUAAUGGAGGAGACGAGGAACAAGAAAGGCACAAGACAUACAAAAGGCCAAUAGCAAAAUAUCUGAAAUAAGUCCUUCCUCAUGAAUCGUUACUUUAAAGAGCUGGGGUGACUAUACUAGUAUCAGACAAAAUAGGGUCUAAGUCUAAAACUUUUACAAGAGACGAAGAACAUCAUACAUUAAUAAAAUUCAUCUAGCAAUUAUAUACACUAAACAAAACAUCAAAAUAUAUGAAGUAAACAUUGACAGAAUUGAAGAGCCAAGAGCUACAGUAAUAAAGAUUUCAGUACCCCACUUUCUAUAGUGGAUAGAACAUCUAGAUGGGAGAUUGAUAAAAAUAAAGGACUUGAUGCUGUAAACCAUUAGACCUGACAGACAUGCACAGAACACUCCACCAGCGACAGAAUACACAUUCUUCUCUAGUGCGCACAGAACAUCCUCCAGGAUGGACCGUAUGUUAGGCCACAAAACAAGUCUCAACAAAUUGAAAAGGGAAAUUGGAGACUACAUUAAGAAUGAAAAUCAAGACUUAUGGGAUGCAGUGAAAGCUGUGCUCAGAAGGAAAUUUUUAGUAGUAAAUGCCUACAUUAAAGAAGAAAGAUCUCAAAUCAAUAAACUAACUGUACACUGUAAGAAACUAGAAAAAGGGGCCGGCCCAGUGGUGCAGUGGUUGAGUUCACGUGUUCUGCUUUGGCAGCCUGGGGUUGGCUGGUUUGGAUCCCGGG